This 241-nucleotide non-coding RNA is filed under the name Megasphaera genomosp. C1. Its description in RNAcentral is "Megasphaera genomosp. T-box sequence". It matches the Rfam family "T-box leader". Rfam says of the family: Uncharged tRNA acts as the effector for transcription antitermination of genes in the T-box leader family. T-boxes are found upstream of many aminoacyl-tRNA synthetase genes and some amino acid biosynthetic genes usually in Gram-positive bacteria. The record is from RNAcentral. Lineage: Bacteria; Bacillati; Bacillota; Negativicutes; Veillonellales; Veillonellaceae.
AAAAAUCUGAUGACGGGAAAGAGUACUUUGCCGGGAUAUUUACAGAGAGCCGAUGGGUGGUGUGAAUCGGUAAUAGAAGGUAAAGGAAAAUCAUCCCUGAAGAGACGUGCUGAAGAUAUUAAGCACUGACGAUUUUUCCACGUUAUAGGAAACGCGUAUGUUGGUACGUUGUAGAGAGCCCGCUAUGGCAGUAAUGCGGCGGGAAUCAGGGUGGUAACGCGGAAUAUACUCCGUCCCUCAG